RNAcentral lists this long non-coding RNA (579 nucleotides) under Chrysolophus pictus (golden pheasant). RNAcentral describes it as "lncRNA (ENSCPIG00010006990.1)". The record is from RNAcentral. Lineage: Eukaryota; Metazoa; Chordata; Aves; Galliformes; Phasianidae.
UCCUUGGCCUGGAUUUAAAAGCACUUAGGAAUGCCUAUGGAUGUGGAAAGCCUUUGAAUUUCAUUUCUCGCUUUCUCUCUUAUGAGAGCUGUGGAGGUUCUUACAGAUGUUUCAUUCAGCUGGAUAAACAUUAAUACUAAGGGGAAGCUCUGUCUCUGGCAUAGGACUUUCAAGAUACAGCCUCAGUGUGCAAAUAAGCAUACUGACAAAAGAGAAAUCCAAGGACUGAAGAAAGAAACAAGUUUACUAGAUACGCUUUGUAGCCCAAGUUUCCUGAGAAAGCAAGUUUUUAUCCUACAGGACCAGCUAUUAGCGAGUGAUAAGUUAAAGACAACACCAACCAAAGGUCAGGAGUAUAUUCUCCUAGAGCUAUUUCAUAUCCAAUCCAGAGAUUUACUCUUGCUCCAUUUACUCGGAGGAAUUAAAAGCAAGUGAAGGUAGGGUUAUGCACACCUGAUAACAUCAGGAACACACCUGAAAAUGGAGUGGUGAAUGAGUACUUCUGGCCUGAUUGACCUCAGCCAGCUGGGUAUUGACCUGUUUUAGCUGAAAUAAACCUGAAAAGAAGCACUCUAAGCA